AUACGGAGGGAGCAAGCGUUAUUCGGAAUCACUGGGCGUAAAGGACGCGUAGGCGGGUUUGUAAGUCAGGUGUGAAAUCCUACAGCUCAACUGUAGAACUGCACUUGAAACUACAGACCUAGAGUAUGGAAGGGGCAGAUGGAAUUAGUGGUGUAGGGGCAAAAUCCGUAGAUAUCACUAGGAAUACCGAAAGCGAAGGCGAUCUGCUGGGACAUUACUGACGCUGAGGCGUGAAAGCGUGGGGAGCAAACAGGAUUAGAAACCCCAGUAGUCC
This 274-nucleotide ribosomal RNA is filed under the name uncultured bacterium. Its description in RNAcentral is "partial 16S ribosomal RNA". It matches the Rfam family "Bacterial small subunit ribosomal RNA", at positions 523 to 796 of the family's 1533-position model. The record is from RNAcentral.